AUGCAUCUCAAAUACAAAGGGUAAAAAUGACACCCACAAUAAUGACAAACUGAUGAGGUGGAAAAAUGCCAAAAAAACAACCCAAACAAAUGUGUUAUUGGAGAUGGUCUUAGAAGAAACCCUAACACAGAUCUCUCAAGUUCACCCGCACACCAAGUCUCUGCCUCUCUCCUUCUUGCAACUCCGACCACCGGAGUGAGCUCCGGCGACAAGCAUAUACCCAGCUCCGGUUCUCUUCUCCAGCCGCAUACCCACCUCCAAACUCUGGUCUCUCCUUAAAAUCAAAACGACAGAUAGAGAGAGAGCUUGAAACAGAGACUAAGAGAGAGAGAGAGAGAAAGUGAGAAACCAGAGAAAAAGAGAGGGAUAUGUGGAAGAAAAGAGCGACUGUUCACGAAACGGCAGCUCUCCGGCGAGGGUGAGAGCGGUGAUGAAGUGGUGGCUCGAGGUCGAAACAGAGACGGAGAGGGUACGGUGGCCGCGUUCUUCCAAAAACCCACCCAAAACCUAGAGAGAAAAGGAUCAGGGGAGUGUCCGGUCGGCCAGUCGUUCCUUCAACGGCGCGUGCACCAUCACGCCACGCAGAUCAGAAGUCCGAUUUCCAAGACAUGGUGACAGUUUGGAGGUCGGACAAGGAUCGCGUGGAGAUGUAACUAUCUUGCUUAGUCAUUAAUAACGUUCAAUAACGAGGAAAGUUUGAGAAAAUUGUUGUAGUACGAUCCAUAUGUUCAAGAUUCAAGGAGACAACUGAUCUGCCUAUAUGUUUAAGCAAGGGUAUUUUUCCAUAAAAUUAGAGUCAACAAACGUGUAUACAUAAUAUUAUACAUGUUCUAUCCUGAAGAACUAGAGACAAAUGAGUGUCUUGAAAGGAAUGUUAGUUGUUGUAUUGACACACAAAAUGGCAUAAGUGCUUUCAAGGACACUUAUAGAGGACGAGUAUGCGAAUGCCUUGCUGUAAACGGGGUGCAAUUUCUAAGGGAUGGACAUAUGCGUUUUGUGAAAGUUCAUGGAAUCCCCUUUAGUUGAGUUUUUAACAACACCACUCUUAACAUAUGUAACGUGCUUUAUAAUAUUGGAUGGUAUAAAUGACCGUCGUCGGACCCGGUAGAUGUAACGUCAACAAUGGCAGAUGUUGGUCGGCUAUACGGGAUGGAUAAAGGAGAAUAACAUAACCGGUUGUGGUUGCCCACAGGUAUUCGUGUAGAUGGUCGUACUUGUGAAGGUGUAAGGCCACUAAUGGUGGAUAUGAACGCAAACGCAAGGGGGACAAACUGUACAUAGCUGAUCAUCUUUUUUCGGUUAUUAAGUAUCAAAGUGUUGUUCAUGAGGUCGAUCCGUAGUUCAAUUACCAGCGGUUGUCAUGCCAAAUUGAUUCGUGCUUUAUCUUGCAAUAACCUCAGUUCCUAACCCUCAUUGUAUCCUUUUCCAAUUGAUUCAAGUAUAAAAUCAUCGCUACAGUAACCAACAACACAGGAGGAAUCCAGGCAGUGAUUUUCGACCGAGCAGGCAACCAACUAUUGGGAAUGACAUGCGAAGAACUGGCUGCAAACGAAGACCCCAUGAAAACUCUGUAUAUAGUUAUCGGCAAAGAAGCAUACAUGAACAUCCAUCCACUAAGAACAUUGAACCAGCUUCUUCCGGUCUCACUGAUGCAAUAAAAACACCACAACCAACCACACCAACUCAAAAGGCAAACACUGGAAACGCAGCCAAGCACCAACUGGAAUUCCACGACUCAAAUCAGCCAUCUAAAAGGCCUGGCAAAGGCACCCUCACAGACUAAAAUCUGGUUAACAACAAUCAUUUGUUUUGUCCACCUAGAUCAACAACUAUAAGUGGGAUGGCAGAGUCAAGAGCAAGAAAUAGUCAACCAAUCUCUUUUGUACAAAUGAUGAUGACUGAACUGCAUGCUGCAUACACAAGCAACAUAGCACGUCAACUUUGUAAAACAUGUAGCUAAUGGCUGAAUGUUAAUGCCUAGACAUACUAUUUUUUUAUGGUUGCAUCUGCAAAGCAGCAUAACAACUUUAUGAUCCUUGCCUGUUAACAUAACAAAAUCACACAUCCAUAUCUAACUAAAAGCAACUUCUAAUGUCGCGCAACGCGCGAAAGCUUGAAUACCCCUAGUUUCAUUAAAUAAAAAAAACAUUACAAUAAAACUACGCAUAGUCGUUGGGUGAAUAAUGCCCCACCCUAGGGCGUUUUGCGCCAUGUGA
This 2216-nucleotide long non-coding RNA is filed under the name Helianthus annuus (common sunflower). Lineage: Eukaryota; Viridiplantae; Streptophyta; Magnoliopsida; Asterales; Asteraceae. The record is from RNAcentral.